This 253-nucleotide ribosomal RNA is filed under the name uncultured bacterium. RNAcentral describes it as "partial 16S ribosomal RNA". It matches the Rfam family "Bacterial small subunit ribosomal RNA", at positions 524 to 776 of the family's 1533-position model. The record is from RNAcentral.
UACGUAGGGGGCGAGCGUUGUCCGGAUUCAUUGGGCGUAAAGCGCUUUAAGGCGGUUCGGUAAGUCGGGUGUGAAAGUCCAGGGCUCAACCCUGGAAUGCCGGUGGAUACUGUCGGGCUCGAGUCCGGAAGAGGCGAGUGGAAUUCCUGGUGUAGCGGUGAAAUGCGCAGAUAUCAGGAGGAACACCGAUGGCGAAGGCAGCUCGCUGGGACGGUACUGACGCUGAGACGCGAAAGCGUGGGGAGCAAACAGG